Molecule: unclassified non-coding RNA, 401 nt
Filed under: Hevea brasiliensis (rubber tree)
Lineage: Eukaryota; Viridiplantae; Streptophyta; Magnoliopsida; Malpighiales; Euphorbiaceae
Source: RNAcentral
AAAUGGUUUAGUUUCAAACGACAGAUGAUCCGAUUUGAACCAAUCAGUUUCAGUUUUAGUUUGAGGAGAAAUGCGUCAGCCAGAAGAGAUAAAAGAAUCAGAUACAAGGAGCUAGUAGAAGAAGGAAUUAAAAAAAACUCUCGUCUUAUUUUUGCAUUGUUAAUUCUGUAUUUCCCUCUCAACAGGUUCAAGAUGCCAACAGGGAAUCUCUAAUGGAGUUUGCAUGUGGUGGGAAAGUUUCAGAUAACUAGGAAAAAAUAUUUCAAACAAAAAUGAUUGGAUGUCUGUGAAAGUUAGAAAGAUAAGGGAAAAAAAAGGGAUUGCACCGACUUAGUUCUUUGAAUCUGUAAACUUGUAUGGAUAAGAAGAGAUGAUGCUGUGAUGUUGCAGAAACAAAAGAG